Molecule: ribosomal RNA, 497 nt
Filed under: uncultured bacterium
Lineage: Bacteria
Description: bacterial SSU rRNA
Rfam family: Bacterial small subunit ribosomal RNA
Source: RNAcentral
GAUGAACGCUAGCGGCAGGCUUAAUACAUGCAAGUUGAGGGGCAGCAUGAUAUACGUAAGUAUAUUGAUGGCGACCGGCGGACGGGUGAGUAAAAGGUAGGAGACCUACCUCAUACAGGGGGAUAACAUAGAGAAAUCUGUGGUAAUACCCCAUGAGGUUAUAUGAAUAGAGGCAUAUAAUCAAAGUAUACGAGAGUAUGCGGUAUGAGAUGGGCCUACUGACCAUUAGCUAGUUGGUGAGGUAAGGGCUCACCAAGGCGAAGAUGGUUAGGGGUUUUGAGAGAGAGAUCCCCCACAUUGGAACUGAGAUACGGUCCAGACUCCUACGGGAGGCAGCAGUAGGGAAUAUUGGGCAAUGGGCGAAAGCCUGACCCAGCCAUGCCGCGUGAAGGAAGACGGCCUUAUGGGUUGUAAACUUCUUUACUAUACGAAUAGAGGUUAGUACGAGUUACUAAUAGGAAGGUAGUAUAGCAAAAAGCACCGGCUAACUCCGUGCC